UACGAAGGGGGCUAGCGUUGCUCGGAAUUACUGGGCGUAAAGGGCGCGUAGGCGGACAGUUUAGUCAGAGGUAAAAGCCCAGGGCUCAACCUUGGAACUGCCUUUGAUACUGGCUGUCUUGAGUUCGGGAGAGGUGAGUGGAAUGCCGAGUGUAGAGGUGAAAUUCGUAGAUAUUCGGCGGAACACCAGUGGCGAAGGCGACUCACUGGCCCGAUACUGACGCUGAGAGACGAAAGCUAGGGGAGCGAAUGGG
RNAcentral lists this ribosomal RNA (253 nucleotides) under uncultured bacterium. RNAcentral describes it as "partial 16S ribosomal RNA". It matches the Rfam family "Bacterial small subunit ribosomal RNA", at positions 524 to 776 of the family's 1533-position model. The record is from RNAcentral.